Molecule: transfer RNA, 72 nt
Filed under: Polymorphobacter multimanifer
Lineage: Bacteria; Pseudomonadati; Pseudomonadota; Alphaproteobacteria; Sphingomonadales; Sphingosinicellaceae
Also listed under: 4 other names
Description: Sphingomonadaceae bacterium 262-7 tRNA
Rfam family: tRNA
About the family: Transfer RNA (tRNA) molecules are approximately 80 nucleotides in length. Their secondary structure includes four short double-helical elements and three loops (D, anti-codon, and T loops).
Source: Rfam by way of RNAcentral
UCCUCGGUAGCUCAGCGGUAGAGCAUUCGACUGUUAAUCGAAUGGUCGCAGGUUCGAAUCCUGCCCGGGGAG